CCCACACGUGGAGUUAAUUAGGUGAUAAGAGCCAUCACCUGUCAGCAUCUCCUGUCCUGGAGUCCGGGUCUCCUCUGACACCGGAAAACAGUCCAUGGACUUGGGGGAGAACGUGCCUGGCAAGCAGUGGAGAGCUUUUCCCAAGGAAUUUUGGGCAAGAGCAAGCUUUAGACAGCAUCAGAAAAGAAACAUGGAAACAGCAUGCUUACGUAGAAGCUAGCCCCUUCCCACAGCCUUCUCUUGGGCAGGGUUUUCUCUCCAACCCUGAACUUCGCAUCCUCUCAACACAACCUUCGCUAACCGGUCCUUGUGAUCCUGGAUGACAAGCGUCCCUGUCUCCUGCCGCCUCCUCCACUCGCCCAGUUAUUUCUGUUUUGGGAGAAUAAACAACAACUCUUCUGG
Molecule: long non-coding RNA, 402 nt
Organism: Suricata suricatta (meerkat)
Lineage: Eukaryota; Metazoa; Chordata; Mammalia; Carnivora; Herpestidae
Exons: 3
Source: RefSeq, a predicted model, not a curated record